GGGAAUAUUGCGCAAUGGGCGAAAGCCUGACGCAGCGACGCCGCGUGGGGGAUGACGGCUUCGGGUUGUAAACCUCUUUCAGCAGGGACGAAGCGAGAGUGACGGUACCUGCAGAAGAAGCACCGGCCAACUACGUGCCAGCAGCCGCGGUAAUACGUAGGGUGCAAGCGUUGUCCGGAAUUAUUGGGCGUAAAGAGCUCGUAGGCGGUUUGUCGCGUCGGCUGUGAAAACCUGAGGCUCAACCUCAGGCCUGCAGUCGAUACGGGCAGACUUGAGUGUUGCAGGGGAGACUGGAAUUCCUGGUGUAGCGGUGAAAUGCGCAGAUAUCAGGAGGAACACCGGUGGCGAAGGCGGGUCUCUGGGCAACAACUGACGCUGAGGAGCGAAAGCGUGGGGAGCGAACAGGAUUAGAUACCCUGGUAGUCCACGCCGUAAACGUUGGGCGCUAGGUGUGGGGCUCAUUCCACGAGUUCCGUGCCGCAGCUAACGCAUUAAGCGCCCCGCCUGGGGAGUACGGCCGCAAGGCU
This 527-nucleotide ribosomal RNA is filed under the name uncultured bacterium. RNAcentral's name for it is "bacterial SSU rRNA". It matches the Rfam family "Bacterial small subunit ribosomal RNA", at positions 357 to 895 of the family's 1533-position model. The record is from RNAcentral.